UACGAUGAGCCGAGAGGUCGGUAACCAACCCCAAUUGGUUACGUUGAUUUUUUCGGAAAGGGGACACGAAACCUACCGGAUUGUAGGGUGUUCGAUUCAAGGGUGAUUGUGAACUAG
This 117-nucleotide non-coding RNA is filed under the name Limosilactobacillus gastricus PS3. Its description in RNAcentral is "Lactobacillus gastricus PS3 Enterococcus sRNA 68 (Lacto-3 RNA)". It matches the Rfam family "Enterococcus sRNA 68 (Lacto-3 RNA)". From Rfam's summary of the family: Name 'Ref' stands for RNA in E. faecalis. Also known as Lacto-3 RNA. Lactobacillales (Firmicutes). Lineage: Bacteria; Bacillati; Bacillota; Bacilli; Lactobacillales; Lactobacillaceae. The record is from Rfam by way of RNAcentral.